This 64-nucleotide microRNA precursor is filed under the name Patiria miniata (bat star). Its description in RNAcentral is "Pmi-Mir-29-P2_pre stem-loop". It matches the Rfam family "mir-29 microRNA precursor family", at positions 6 to 64 of the family's 70-position model. Rfam says of the family: This family represents the microRNA (miRNA) precursors mir-29. Animal miRNAs are transcribed as ~70nt precursors and subsequently processed by the Dicer enzyme to give a ~22nt product. Lineage: Eukaryota; Metazoa; Echinodermata; Asteroidea; Valvatida; Asterinidae. The record is from RNAcentral.
ACUGUUUUUUCUUGGUGCUUAGAGUCCUUCUUUUUUGUCGUCUAGCACCAUGAAAAAGCAGUCU